GUUGAAGAGAUAGUGAAAUGAGUGGCCACCUUCUCUUGAUUUCUUCGCCUGUGAUAAUCCCCAACAGCAUCAACAGGCCUACCAUAGGGCCUGAACCCAAAGAUCUGGGCCAUAUCCAGCAGGGUUGGUGCCAUAGGACCCACACGAAAAUCAAAUGUGUUGCUGGCGGAAUUCCAGAAGCACAAAGCAGUGGCAAGCAGGUUCUCAACUCUGUUAAUUGACUGCUUGGACAGGAGAAUGGCAUCAUAAAUCCCG
RNAcentral lists this long non-coding RNA (255 nucleotides) under Prunus persica (peach). RNAcentral's name for it is "long non-coding RNA (PPER_LNC007033)". Lineage: Eukaryota; Viridiplantae; Streptophyta; Magnoliopsida; Rosales; Rosaceae. The record is from RNAcentral.